Molecule: ribosomal RNA, 1355 nt
Filed under: metagenome
Description: bacterial LSU rRNA
Rfam family: Bacterial large subunit ribosomal RNA
Source: RNAcentral
UUGAGGCGUGAUGGGGAAGGCCAUAUAGGCCGAAGUACAUGAUUCCAUGCUUCCAAGAAAAGCAUCUAGAGAGAGAAGUAGUGCCCGUACCGCAAACCGACACAGGUAGAUGAGGAGAGAAUCCUAAGGCCGGCGGAAGAAUUGCAGUUAAGGAACUAGGCAAAUUGACCCCGUAAGUUCGCGAGAAGGGGUGCCUGCGAGAGCAGGCCGCAGAGAAUAGGCCCAAGCAACUGUUUAGCAAAAACACAGGUCUCUGCUAAAGCGUAAGCUGAUGUAUAGGGGCUGACGCCUGCCCGGUGCUGGAAGGUUAAGGGGAACACUUAGCGCAAGCGAAGGUGUGAACUUAGCCCCAGUAAACGGCGGCCGUAACGAUAACGGUCCUAAGGUAGCGAAAUUCCUUGUCAGGUAAGUUCUGACCCGCACGAAUGGCGUAAUGACUUGGGCACUGUCUCAACUGCAAAUCCGGCGAAGUUGUAGUGCGAGUGAAGAUGCUCGCUACCCGCGAUUGGACGGAAAGACCCCGUAGAGCUUUACUGUAGCUUAGCAUUGAAUUCCGGUAUUGUCUGUACAGGAUAGGUGGGAGACUGGGAAACUAGGGCGUCAGCCUUAGUGGAGUCAACCUUGGGAUACCACCCUGACAGUACUGGGGUUCUAACAGGACGCCAUGAAUCUGGUGACUGGACAUUGUUAGGUGGGCAGUUUGACUGGGGCGGUCGCCUCCUAAAAGUAACGGAGGCGCCCAAAGGUUCCCUCAGAACGGUCGGAAAUCGUUCGUAGAGUGCAAAGGCAGAAGGGAGCCUGACUGCGAGACAUACAAGUCGAGCAGGGACGAAAGUCGGGUUUAGUGAUCCGGUGGUACCUCGUGGGAGGGCCAUCGCUCAACGGAUAAAAGCUACCUCGGGGAUAACAGGCUGAUCUCCCCCAAGAGUCCACAUCGACGGGGAGGUUUGGCACCUCGAUGUCGGCUCGUCGCAUCCUGGGGCUGUAGUAGGUCCCAAGGGUUGGGCUGUUCGCCCAUUAAAGCGGCACGCGAGCUGGGUUCAGAACGUCGUGAGACAGUUCGGUCCCUAUCCGUCGCGGGCGUAGGAAAUUUGAGAGGAGCUGUCCUUAGUACGAGAGGACCGGGAUGGACUGACCUCUGGUGCACCAGUUGUUCCGCCAGGAGCAUGGCUGGGUAGCUAAGUCGGGAAGGGAUAAACGCUGAAAGCAUCUAAGCGUGAAGCCUCCCUCAAGAUGAGAUUUCCCAUAGCAUAAGCUAGUAAGACCCCUUGAAGAACACAAGGUUGAUAGGUCAGAGGUGUAAGUGCGGUAACGUAUUUAGCUGACUGAUACUAAUAGAUCGAGGGCUUGACCAU